Molecule: small RNA, 6822 nt
Filed under: Pan troglodytes (chimpanzee)
Lineage: Eukaryota; Metazoa; Chordata; Mammalia; Primates; Hominidae
Description: retained intron
Source: RNAcentral
CAGAGAAGGCCUUGAAAGUUGAAAGUGAGCAUCCAUCAUCUGGAGAAAAACUAAAAUACAACCAGCAAGGGGAAGUACAACAACUUCACCAGAAUUUGCACCGGCUCCAGAUUCUAUGCAACUCAGCUGAAAAUGAGCUUCGAUAUGAACGAGGGCAGAACUUGGACUUAAAGCAACAUAAUAGCUUACUUCAGGAAGAAAACAUUAAGAUAAAGAUUGAACUAAAGCAUGCCCAACAGAAGUUAUUAGACAGCACAAAGAUGUGCUCUUCACUCACGGCAGAGUGCAAGCACUGUCAGCAGAAAAUCAAGGAACUGGAGUUGGAAGUACUUAAACACACUCAGAGCAUUAAAUCACAGAACAACCUACAGGAAAAGCUGGCUCAGGAGAAAUCUAAAGUUGCUGAUGCAGAGGAAAAGAUUUUGGACCUGCAGCGGAAAUUAGAACAUGCUCAUAAAGUCUGUCUCACAGACACUUGUAUUUCAGAGAAGCAGCAGCUAGAGGAAAAGAUAAAAGAAGCAACAGAAAAUGAAGCUAAAGUAAAGCAACAAUAUCAAGAAGAACAACAGAAGAGGAAACUUCUAUAUCAGAACGUAGAUGAGUUACACAGGCAAGUGAGAACCUUACAAGAUAAAGAAAAUCUACUGGAAAUGACCUGUUCUCAGCAACAAUCCAGAAUUCAGCAACAAGAGGCCCUACUUAAACAACUGGAAAAUGAAAAAAGAAAAUAUGAUGAGGUAAGAAAGUAAAUAGACAUGCUUCUCAGUUUUCCUAUUCCCAUUAGUAACAGCUAAUUAUUAUUGAGUGCCUAGCACUUUACUAAACGUAAUCCUUUAGUCAGGGUUCAGUCAGGAAAGUAGAAUCUACUCUAGGUAUUUCAAGCAAGAAGAGAUUUAACACAGGGAAUAAGAGCUUACAAAACAGUUGGAAGGGACCAGGGGAGAGUAGAGUCAGAAAGGACUGCUGCUAGCUUUCAAUAAAUCCAGAAGUUCAGAAAUCACAGAGAAGCCACCUCCUGCAGCGUCAAAGUGGAGAAUUUGCAGGAACUGUCCUGAAGCUCCUACAAAUGUCUCAUCUGUUGUCUGCCCUUUUAUCCAUCUGCUAGUGCUAAAGAACUGUUGGGGGGAAAGACAAACAAACCUGUUUCUUCUUUCUAUACUCGUACCACUCUGAAUACUUCACUUCUGAUAUAGUUUGGAUGAUUCUCCUCUCCAAAUCUCUUGCUGAAAUGUAAUCCCCAUCAUUGGAGGUGGGGCUUAACAGGAGGUGGUUUUGUCAUGGGGGUGGGUCCCUCAUAAAUGGCUUGAUGCUGUCCUCACGAUAAUGAAUUAUCGCGAGAUAUAGAUGUUUAAAAGUGUGUGGCACCUCUCCACUCUCUUUUGCUCCCACUAUCACCGUGUGACAUGUCUGCUCCCAUUUCACCUACCACGAUUGUUAGCUUCCUGAGUCCCUCACCAGAAGCUGACCAGAUGCCGAUACCAUGCUUCGUGUAUAGUCUGCAUAUCUGUAAGCCAAUUAAACUUCUUUUCUUUAUAAAUUACCCAGUCUCAGGUAUUUCUUUAUAGCAGUGCAAGAACAGCUUGACACAGAAAAUUGGUACCAAGAAGCGGAGCGUUACUAAAAAAGAUACCUGAAAAUGUGGAAGCAACUUUGGAACUGGGUAACAGGCAGAGAUUGGAAGAGUUUGGAGGGCUCAGAAGAAGGCAGGAGGACCAGGAGCAGUGGCUCACAACUAUAAUCCCAGCGCUUGAGAGGCUGAGGUAGGAGGAUUGCUUGAGGCCAGGAGUUCGAGACCAGCCUGGGCAACAUAGUGAGCCCUUGUCUCAACAAAAAAACAAAAAAUUAGCCAGAUAUGGUGGCAUGGACCUGUAGUACCAGCUACUCAGGAGGCUGAGGUGGGAAGAUCACUUGAGCUGGGAGGUUGGGGUUGCAAUGAGCCAUGAUCAUGCCACUACACUACAGCCUAGGUGACACAGCAAGACUCUGUCUCAAAAAAAAAGAGGAUGAAAGUUUGUAACUUCUUAGAGACUGGUUAAAUUGUUAUGACCAAAAUACUGAUAGAAAUAUGGACAGUGAAGGCCAGCCUAGUGAGGUCUCAGAUGGAAAUGAGGAAGUUAUUGGGAACUGGAAUAAACGUCACUCAUGUUACACCCUAGCAAAGAACUCCUGCAUUGUGUUCAUGUACCAAGGAUCUGUGGAAGUUUGAAUUUAAGAGUGGUAAUUUAGGGUCUCUGGCAGAAGAAAUUUCUAAGCAGCAAAGCAUUCAAGAUGUGGCCUGACUCCUUGUAACAACCUGUGAUCAGAUAUGGGAGCAAAGGAAUGACUUAAAGUUGGAACUUAUAUUCAAAAGGGAAGCAGAGCAUAAAAAUUCAGCAAAUUUGCAGCCUGGCCAUGUGGCAGAGAAAGAAUCCCAGCAGGGUAUGGAGCAACUACUUGCUAGAGAAACUAGCAUGACUAAAUGGGAGCCAAGUGCUAGUAUCCAAGACAAUGGGAAAAGGCCUCAAAGGCAAUCUCAGAGAACUUGGAGACAGCCCCUACCAUCACAGGUCCACAGACGUAGGAGGAAAGAAUGGUUUAGGGGGCCAAGCACUGGGGUACCACUGCUCUGCUCAGCCUCAGGACACUGCUCCCUGAAUCCCAGCUACUACAGCUCCAGCUGUGGCUCAAAGGACCCCAGAUACAGCUCAGGCUGCCUGUCCAGAGGAUGCAAGCCAUAAGCCUUGGUGGCUUCCAUGUGGUAUUAAACCUGUGGGCACAUAGAAUGCAAGAGUGAAGGAGGCUUGGCAGCUCCCACAUAGAUUUCAGAUGAUGUGGGAGAUAGCCUGGGUGCCCAGGCAGAACCCUGCCGCAGGGGCAGAGCCCUCACAGAGAAGUUCUAAUAGGGCAAUGCUGAGGGGAAAUGUGGGGUUGGAAGCCUCACACAGAGUCCCCACUGGGGCACUGCCUAGUGGAGCUAUAAGAAGUGGGCCACUGCCCUCCAGACUCCAGAAUGGUAGAUCCACAGGCAGCUUGCAUCCUGUACCUGGGAAAGCCCCAGACACCCAACUCCAACCAGUGAGAUCAGCCACAGGGGCUGCUGCCUGCAAAGCCACAGGAGAAGAGCUACCCAAGGCCUUGGGAGCCUACGCAUUGCACCAUUGUGCCCUGGAUGUGGGACAUGGAGUCAAGGGAGAGUAUUUUGGAGCUUUAAGAUUUAAUGACUGCCCUGCUGAGAUUUAGACUUGCAUGGGGCUUAUUGACUCUUUCUUUUGGCUAAUUUCUCCCUUUUGGAAUUGUGAUGUUUACCUAAUGCCUGUACUACCACUGUAUCUUGGGAGUAAAUGACUUAUUUUGAUUUUUACAGGCUCAUAAGUGGAAGGAGAUAAGUCUCAGAAGAGACUUAGGACUUUGGACUUGAUGCUGGAAUGAGUUAAGACUUUUGGGGACUAUUGGUAGGGAAUGAUUAUAUCUUGUAGUGUGAGAAAGACAUGCAAUUUGAGGGGUCAUGGGUGGAAUGAUACGGUUUGGUUCUUUAUCCCCUCCAAAUCUCAUCUUGAAAUGUAAUCCCCGUUGUUGGAGGUUGGGUCUGAGGGGAGGUGUUUGGGUCAUUGGAGUGCAUCCCUCAUUAAUGGCCUGGUGCUGUCCUCAUAAUAGUGAGUGUGCUCUUCAUGAGAUCUGGUUGUUUGAAAGUAUGUAGCCAGGCAUGGUAGCUCAUGCCUGUAAUCCCGGCAGUUUGGGAGGCCAAGGCGUUUGAGCUUGACCUUGAACUUGAGCUCAGGAGUUUGAGACCAGCCUUGGCAACAUGGAGAAAUCCAUCUGUACAAAAAAAUACAAAAAUUAAUUGGAUGUGUUGGCAUGCACCUGUAGUCUCAGCUAUUCAGGAGGCUGAGGUGGGGAAGAUGGCUUGAACCUGGGAGGCGGAAUUUGCAGUGAGCUGAGAUCACGCCAUUGCACUCCAGCCUGGACAACAAAGCCAGACCCUGUCUCAAAAAAUAAAUAAAUAAAUAAAAUUUAAAAUAUAAAUAAAUAAAGUAUAUGACACCUCUGCCCAUUCUCUUGCUCCUCUCACCAUAUGACAUGUGUGCUCCCACUUCACCUACCAUCAUGAUUGUGAGCUUCCUGAGGCCCUCACCAGAAGCUGAGCAGAUGCUGGCACCAUGCUUUCUGUAUAGCCGGCAGAACCAUGAGCCAAUUAAACUUCUUUUCUCUAUAAAUUACCCAGUCUCAGGUAUUCCUUUAUAGCAAUGCAAAAAUGGCCAAAUACAACUUCUGACACCAGUUAUGUGAGUUUUUCCCCAUACUAAGCAAUUCUCCAAUUCUUUGUGGACACCAACUGGAUGUACAAAAAUGUAAGUCAGUCUGACACUAUCUACCUGAAGAUAGCAUCAGAUCCCAUGAGUUAAGCUCUCAGUCCCACAAUACUGCCCCCAUUCGAGAUGCUAAUUGCAAGUCCAGGUUUUUGCUUAUGCUUCUGACCAACCAGUUAUAAAUCAGAGGUCCCCACAACCCUCUCCUUGGGUUUGAUCUUUUUGUAGGAUGGCUCACAGAAUUCAGGAAAACAGUUUGCUUACUGGAUUCCUGGCUGAUUAUAAAAGGAUACAACUCAGGAACAGCCAGAUGGAAGAGAUGCAUAGGGCAAGGCAUGUGGAAAGGGAUGUGGAACUUCCAUGACCUCUGAUCACACCACCCUCCCAGGACCUCCACAUAUUCAGCAACCUAGAAGCUCCCUAAACCCUGUCCUUUUGGGGAUUUAUGAAGACUUCAUUAUGUAGGCAUGAUUGGUUAAAUCAUUAACUGUUAGUGAUUAACUCAACCUUUAGUCCCUCUCCCUUCCUGGGAAGUCUGGGUGAGCCUGAAAGUUCCAACCCUCUAAUCACAUAAUGGUACCCCUGGCAACUUGCCUACAUCCUGAGGCUGCCCCAGAGUCUCCCCACCCCUCUGCCAUCAGUCUUCUCAUUAGUUUACAAAAAAGACACUUACCACUUCAGAGAUUCCAAGAGUUUUAGGAGCAGCGUGCCAGGAAAUAGGACAAAGAUCAAAAUAUGUAUGUAUUAUACCACAGUAACACACGAAAAAUUACUUUUCCUUCCCUUAUGCUUUCCAAAUUGUGUGCAAGUUCCUCUCAUCUGCAGAAACUACACUUUAUCCCUGCUAGCAGGGGAGUCUGGAAAAUGCAGUUUUCAGGCUUCCAAGCUCAUGGCCCAGGGGAAAGCUUAGAAGAGUGGGGUCAUGUUGAGUUCUAGCACAGUCCACUUGGGAUACUCAGCAUCCAUACAAAUGCUUUUACCUUGUGGCUUAACUUCUAAACUACAAGAAGAAUAUCAUGCUUCCACUUAAUAUGAUGCACUAUAAUUCAUAUAAAUAAAGACACACUGUCUCCAUAAAAAUAAAGAAUACUCAAAGUCCAAUCAGUAUCUAUGAUUAUUUUGGGGUGAUGUUCAUUUUACUUCAGUCUCAAUCCACAUGCGUGGAUAUGCUAUAACAUUAAAACUUAAUUAUAGGCCAGGUGUGGUGGCUCACGACUGUAAUCCCAAUGAUUUAGGAGGCUGAAGUGGGAGGAUUGCUUGAGCUCAGGAGUUCGAGACCAGCCUUGGCAACAUAGCAAGACCCUGUCUCUACAAAACAAAAUUUUUAAUUAGCUGGGCCUGAUGGUGUGUACCUGCAGCUCUAGCUACAUGGGAGGCUGAGGUGGGAGGACUGCUUGAGCCCAGGAGGUCAAGGCUUCAGUGAGCUGUGUUUGUGUCACUGCACUGCAGCCUGGGUGACAGAGUGAGACCUCAAGUGAAAAAAGAAAAAGCUUAAUUAGAAGCCAGGAACUUAUAAUUAAGCAAGUGCCUAUAGUACUAGCUGCUUAGAAGCCUGAGGCAGAAGGAUUGCUUGUGGCCAGAAGUUCAAGGCUCAGUAUGCUAUGAUUGCAUAUGUGAAUAGCCCCUGUAUUCCUGUCUGGGCAAUAUAGCCAGACCUCAUUUCUUAAAUUAAAACAUCAUGGUCUUCUGCUCUGAAUAAAAUAAAAAAGAAAUGAAAAUUUUAAAAAUUAAAACAAAAUUAUAAAGUUAACUACCAAUAAUACAAUAGCACGCAUUUUGCUAAUGGGUAUUGGCAUAAGAAGCCACUCCCAAUUUCAUCUCUUGGUCCCUUUUCAUGUAUUCUGGCUAGGGGAGAAAUAAUAUCAUAUAUCAAUCACAGUUAAAAGUUUAUACAUCAUCUUGUAAGACAACACUUCAAACCUAUGAAGUGUUGUCACCUGGCCAGCAUCAUAGCUAAGUCUUCCAUAGGUAAUUUCGCUGUUUUUUUUUUUUCAGAUUGGUUUUUCUGCAUGAUAGGAUAUAUGGUAGAACCAAUGAGUCAUAUGAUUAUAUGAGCCAUUGUUUCACUUUUCUUGCUAUAAAAUGAUUUUCUUGGUCAGAAGCAAUAUUUUUUUUUAUUACUACAAGUCUAGAUCCGAGUUAUAUAUCAUGACAAGAAAUAAGGAAUUUGGUAAGUCCACAAAUGGUGGUCCUGGCAAAAGCGUUAUGGACAGAAAAAGUAAAUCCAGGCCAGGCGUGGUGGCUCACGCCUGCCAUCCCAGCACUUUGGAAGCCCAAGGCAGGCGGAUCACUUGAGGUCAGGAAUUCGAGACCAGCCUGGCCAACAUGGUGAAAUCCCCUCUCUACUAAAAAUACAAAAAUUAGCCAGGUGUGGUGGCACAUGCCUGUAAUUCCAGCUACUUGGGAGGCUGAGGCGGGAGAAUCGCUUGAGCCUGGGAGGCGAAGGUUGCAGUGAGCUGAGAUUGCGCCACUGCAUUCCAGCCUGGGUGACAGAGCAAGACUCUGUCUCAAAAAGAGAAAAAAAGAAAAAGAAAAA